UGAGUGCGAGCGGCUACGGCCGCGAAGUGGGUGAUGUCAAGCUUCCAAGAAAAGCCCUAUACCCGUUAAGGCAUGAUGGCCUGUACCCGAAACCGACACAGGUGGGGUGGUAGAGAAUACCGAGGGGCGCGAGGUAACUCUCUCUAAGGAACUCGGCAAAAUGGCCCCGUAACUUCGGGAGAAGGGGUGCCACCGCAAGGUGGUCGCAGUGAAGAGGCCCAGGCGACUGUUUACCAAAAACGCAGGUCUCCGCUAAGUCGCAAGACGAUGUAUGGGGGCUGACGCCUGCCCAGUGCCGGAAGGUUAAGGAAGCUGGUCAGCGCAAGCGAAGCUAGCGACUGAAGCCCCGGUGAACGGCGGCCGUAACAAUAACGGUCCUAAGGUAGCGAAAUUCCUUGUCGGGUAAGUUCCGACCCGCACGAAAGGCGUAACGAUCUGGGCGCUGUCUCGGAGAGAGGCUCGGCGAAAUAGAAUUGUCUGUGAAGAUGCGGACUACGUGCACCCGGACAGAAAGACCCUAUGAAGCUUUACUGUAGCUUGGUAUUGUGCCCGGGCUCUGAAUGCGCAGGAUAGGUGGGAGGCUUUGAUCCAUGGCUUGCGGGUCAUGGUGAGCCAACGGUGAGAUACCACUCUUUCAGAGCUAGGGUUCUAACGGUCACCCGUCAUCCGGGGACCGGACAGUAUCAGGUGGGCAGUUUGACUGGGGCGGUCGCCUCCUAAAAGGUAACGGAGGCGCGCAAAGGUUUGCUCAGGCUGGUUGGAAAUCAGCCGACGAGUGCAAAAGCAGAAGCAAGCUUGACUGUGAGACCUACAAGUCGAACAGGGACGAAAGUCGGCUUUAGUGAUCCGACGGUUCUGAGUGGAAGGGCCGUCGCUCAACGGAUAAAAGUUACUCUAAGGAUAACAGGCUGAUCUCCCCCAAGAGUUCACAUCGACGGGGAGGUUUGGCACCUCGAUGUCGGCUCAUCGCAACCUGGGGCUGAAGUCGGUCCCAAGGGUUGGGCUGUUCGCCCAUUAAAGCGGUACGCGAGCUGGGUUCAGAACGUCGUGAGACAGUUCGGUCCAUAUCCGGUGCACGCGCAGGAACAUUGAGAGGAUUUCUCCCUAGUACGAGAGGACCGGGAGGAACGCACCUCUGGUGUGCCAGUUAUCGUGCCAACGGUAAACGCUGGGUAGCCAUGUGCGGAGUGGAUAACCGCUGAAAGCAUCUAAGUGGGAAGCCCACCUCAAGAUGAGUGUUCCCAUGGCAUAAGCCAGUAAGGUCACGGGAAGAACACCCGUUGAUAGGCUCUACGUGGAAGCCGGGUAACCGGUGAAGCGGAGGAGUACUAAUAGACCGAGGGCUUGACC
RNAcentral lists this ribosomal RNA (1350 nucleotides) under metagenome. Its description in RNAcentral is "bacterial LSU rRNA". It matches the Rfam family "Bacterial large subunit ribosomal RNA", at positions 1564 to 2925 of the family's 2925-position model. The record is from RNAcentral.